UACGUAGGUGGCAAGCGUUGUCCGGAUUUAUUGGGCGUAAAGCGCGUGUAGGCGGCCAGGUAGGUCCGCUGUGAAAACCCGAGGCUCAACCUCGGGACGUCGGCGGAAACCAUCUGGCUAGAGUCCGGAAGAGGAGAGUGGAAUUCCUGGUGUAGCGGUGAAAUGCGCAGAUAUCAGGAAGAACACCCGUGGCGAAGGCGGCUCUCUGGGACGGUACUGACGCUGAGACGCGAAAGCGUGGGGAGCGAACAGG
RNAcentral lists this ribosomal RNA (253 nucleotides) under uncultured bacterium. RNAcentral describes it as "partial 16S ribosomal RNA". It matches the Rfam family "Bacterial small subunit ribosomal RNA", at positions 524 to 776 of the family's 1533-position model. The record is from RNAcentral.